GGGGCCGUUAAUGGUUUCGACGGGGAUGACAACUGUGUGACUGGCAGGUCGAGUUGAAGGCACUCGUUAAACGACUUCACAAAAACAACUGCAAACGAUAACGUUGCAAAAGCUCCUGCCUUCGCGGCAGCUGCUUAAAAACUGGCCCCUUUAGCGGGCCACGUUCAUGGCGCGGGUCUCCCCAGUCGGUGUCAUGGGCGUAACUAAUUGGGGAUCGUCCUUAAGUUUUGUCUACUGGCUUAAGGGCUAAAAAUAAAUAGGCCCGCCUUUGAGUACCGGUUACGGGGUAAACUAAAGGGUUAAAUCCAAACUGUGACUAAACCUGUAGAAGGCAUACGGAAGCUUUUUCGGACGUGGGUUCGACUCCCACCGGCUCCACAU
Molecule: transfer-messenger RNA, 381 nt
Filed under: bacterium
Lineage: Bacteria
Also listed under: 1 other name
Description: JADGCS01 sp015228875 Standard tmRNA
Rfam family: transfer-messenger RNA
About the family: Bacterial tmRNA, also known as 10Sa RNA or SsrA, is named for its dual tRNA and mRNA-like properties. Its role is to liberate the mRNA from a stalled ribosome.
Source: RNAcentral